RNAcentral lists this ribosomal RNA (301 nucleotides) under uncultured bacterium. Its description in RNAcentral is "partial 16S ribosomal RNA". It matches the Rfam family "Bacterial small subunit ribosomal RNA", at positions 509 to 809 of the family's 1533-position model. The record is from RNAcentral.
CAGUCGCCACGGGAAUACGUAGGGUGCAAGCGUUAAUCGGAAUUACUGGGCGUAAAGCGUGCGCAGGCGGUUAUAUAAGACAGAUGUGAAAUCCCCGGGCUCAACCUGGGAACUGCAUUUGUGACUGUAUAGCUAGAGUACGGCAGAGGGGGAUGGAAUUCCGCGUGUAGCAGUGAAAUGCGUAGAUAUGCGGAGGAACACCGAUGGCGAAGGCAAUCCCCUGGGCCUGUACUGACGCUCAUGCACGAAAGCGUGGGGAGCAAACAGGAUUAGAUACCCCCGUAGUCCCUGUCUCUUAUAU